CUUAAUUCUUUAUAUCUUUUUCUGUGCAUGCAGCUUCUGUGCACUGGGGAAAAGGCACCACUGGUUUUACAGAUCUUUACUGGUGGACUGUGCACAUCUGGGACUGCUGUAUAAUAAUACCCCCAUCCAGCCGGCAUAUCUCAAGAAUGGGGUUGCAUCCAGAGUCUGACAGGUGCUAAGUCACCAAAGUUUAUCCGCUGACAUUAAACCUCUUAAAUAUAUUCUGAGAAGAAAUACUCACCUUCCUGGAUUAUUCUACAUGUGCUACAAAUACUCCAGAUGUUAGUGUCACGGCUGUUUCUAGGGACUGAGCUCUGAAAAAAAUGGUUCUGCAAAUUUGCAAAAGUUGGCUGAGGAUGAUAAUAUAAGGUACAAAUACAUGUGACACUCUGCCCACCUGCCCACAAAAGGCUGCCAGCUGCCAGAAGCAUGUAA
This is a long non-coding RNA of Podarcis muralis (Common wall lizard), 435 nucleotides long. RefSeq lists it as uncharacterized. NCBI's taxonomy places the organism in Eukaryota, Metazoa, Chordata, Lepidosauria, Squamata, Lacertidae. The record is from RefSeq and is a predicted model, not a curated record.